RNAcentral lists this unclassified non-coding RNA (1991 nucleotides) under Zea mays. Its description in RNAcentral is "misc RNA Zm00001eb325780". Lineage: Eukaryota; Viridiplantae; Streptophyta; Magnoliopsida; Poales; Poaceae. The record is from RNAcentral.
CUUCCCCUCCUCCUCUUGUGCGCCCCCCCAUCCCUCAACUCGCGCGCGCACGGCCGCAUCCGCGGCACGCCGCGCCGCAUCCCGUGCCCGCGCAAAACCGGAUCCGCCGCCGCCAUGGCGGUGGACCGCGUGGACGGCGAGGAGGCGUUCGAGGAGGUGGACCCGACGGGGCGGUUCGGGCGGUACGCGGACGUGCUGGGGCUCGGGUCCGUCAAGAAGGUGUACCGCGGGUUCGACCAGGAGGAGGGGAUCGAGGUGGCGUGGAACCGCGUCCGGCUGCGGUCGCUGGCCGACCGCGACCCCGGCAUGGUGGAGCGCCUCCACGCCGAGGUGCGCCUCCUCCGCUCGCUCAGCCACGACCACAUCAUCGGCUUCCACAAGGUGUGGCUGGACCGCGACGCCGGCGUCCUCAACUUCAUCACCGAGGUCUGCACCUCCGGGAGCCUCCGCGAGUACCGCCACCGACACCGCCACGUCUCCGUCAAGGCGCUCAAGAAGUGGGCGCGCCAGAUCCUCGAGGGGCUCAACCACCUCCACACCCACGACCCCUGCAUCAUCCACCGCGACCUCAACUGCAGCAACGUCUUCAUCAAUGGCAACAACGGCCAGGUCAAGAUCGGCGACCUCGGGCUGGCGGCGAUCGUGGACAAGACGCACGUGGCGCACACCAUCCUGGGCACGCCGGAGUUCAUGGCGCCGGAGCUGUACACGGAGACGUACACGGAGUCGGUGGACAUCUACUCGUACGGCAUGUGCGUGCUGGAGAUGGUCACGCGGGAGGUGCCCUACGCCGAGUGCGGCAGCGUCGUGCAGAUCUUCCACAACGUCACCCGGGGCGUCCCGCCCGCGGCGCUCAAGCGGCUCAAGGACGCCGAGCUGCGGGGCUUCAUCGAGCGCUGCAUCGGCCAGCCCCGGAACCGGCCCUCGGCCGCUGACCUCCUGCAGGACCCCUUCUUCAACGGCGUCCGUGGCGGGGACGACGACGACGACGCCGCGGCGCUCGCCGACGCCUCCAGCGUCGUCGCCGCCGCGCCCGUGCCGCGCCCCAGGAGCUACGUCGACGACCUCGCCGGGCUCCGGCUGGACUGACCUGACCGUCCCUCCCAGCGUUCUGCCUUUCAUCAGUACCGGGAUUCCGGCGCGUGUUAGACGUGUUUUAUUAGAAGUGGAUUCCUGGCCGGCGAGCGACUGCCUGCAAGUGUGUAUAGAUUAUUGUUUAUUUUUACGUCUCCCCGGCGAUUGGCUAGUUUUCACUGUACCUGUACCAAUAAUUGUUGUUGGCUUUGCGCCAGAUGAAGCGCUGUAUUUGACUUUGCGUGCUGAUUCUUUCAAACAGAGGUUGGUUGGCAAACUUAUAAUAUUUCCCUGCGCUGAGCUGGAUACCGCCAUGGAUGCAGUAGACGCGAGAGAUGAGGGCAGCGUUCUGGCCUGUCUCUGCCGGGGGCCCUGGGGACAUGGACGGCGGCAAGCCGAGCGUCGCCUACCUGUCACCUGAGCUUCUCGUCCCUUGACGCAUCAGGAACAUCAUGGGCAGCCCGCAGCUGUGACUGCAAGCUGCAGACAAACUGUCAAGCAAUCUUGCACAGGCACAGGCAGAGGCUGGAUGUGCAAUCCAGUUUAUGAAGCCUUGUCGGCCAUUGUCCUUACUGUUGUCCUUUGUUAUGUUCAUUCAUGUGACAUCUGUCACCUGUGAAAGCUGAAAUCUGAAGCCUGAAGGGACCAUCACGAUUCACGACUUGUCUUUUGCAGGUCAACUGAGAAGCUUAAAGCAUCGUUAACUCGGAUAAACUAUUGCCUGAUCUGCGCGGUUUGGGCUAAUCAGCUGGGAUCAUACCGGGUUGGGUGUUAGCUGGGCUAAGUUUGAGUGUUUGACUAGUUAGCUUGAGGCAAGUCCAAGAACAGCUCGAGUGGGCCGAUUGAAUGGCUCGCAUAUUUCUAUCAAUAGGCUGAGAGGUCAUGACUCGCCCAGACAGAAUUCAGGAUAAACUCCC